UGGGGAAUUUUGGACAAUGGGCGAAAGCCUGAUCCAGCAAUGCCGCGUGUGUGAAGAAGGCCUUCGGGUUGUAAAGCACUUUUGUCCGGAAAGAAAUCUGCCUGGCUAAUACCCGGGCGGGAUGACGGUACCGGAAGAAUAAGCACCGGCUAACUACGUGCCAGCAGCCGCGGUAAUACGUAGGGUGCAAGCGUUAAUCGGAAUUACUGGGCGUAAAGCGUGCGCAGGCGGCUUUGUAAGACAGAUGUGAAAUCCCCGGGCUUAACCUGGGAACUGCAUCCGUGACUGCAAGGCUAGAGUGCGUCAGAGGGAGGUGGAAUUCCGCGUGUAGCAGUGAAAUGCGUAGAGAUGCGGAGGAACACCGAUGGCGAAGGCAGCCUCCUGGGAUGACACUGACGCUCAUGCACGAAAGCGUGGGGAGCAAACA
This 427-nucleotide ribosomal RNA is filed under the name uncultured prokaryote. RNAcentral's name for it is "bacterial SSU rRNA". It matches the Rfam family "Bacterial small subunit ribosomal RNA", at positions 355 to 774 of the family's 1533-position model. The record is from RNAcentral.